UACGUAGGUGGCAAGCGUUGUCCGGAAUUAUUGGGCGUAAAGCGCGCGCAGGCGGUCCUUUAAGUCUGAUGUGAAAGCCCACGGCUCAACCGUGGAGGGUCAUUGGAAACUGGGGGACUUGAGUGCAGAAGAGGAGAGUGGAAUUCCACGUGUAGCGGUGAAAUGCGUAGAGAUGUGGAGGAACACCAGUGGCGAAGGCGACUCUCUGGUCUGUAACUGACGCUGAGGCGCGAAAGCGUGGGGAGCAAACAGG
Molecule: ribosomal RNA, 253 nt
Filed under: uncultured bacterium
Lineage: Bacteria
Also listed under: 1 other name
Description: partial 16S ribosomal RNA
Rfam family: Bacterial small subunit ribosomal RNA
Source: RNAcentral